Molecule: ribosomal RNA, 254 nt
Filed under: uncultured bacterium
Lineage: Bacteria
Description: partial 16S ribosomal RNA
Rfam family: Bacterial small subunit ribosomal RNA
Source: RNAcentral
UACGGGGGGGGCAAGCGUUGUUCGGAAUUACUGGGCGUAAAGGGCUGGUAGGCGGCCAACUAAGUCGGAUGUGAAAUCCCCAGGCUUAACCUGGGAACUGCAUCCGAUACUGGUCGGCCUGAAUCCGGGAGAGGGAUGCAGAAUUCCAGGUGUAGCGGUGAAAUGCGUAGAUAUCUGGAGGAACACCGGUGGCGAAGGCGGGUCUCUGGGCAGUAACUGACGCUGAGGAGCGAAAAGCGUGGGGAGCGAACAGG